GUAGUCCACGCCCUAAACGAUGGAUACUAGAUGUAGGCGGUAUCGACUCCGCCUGCGUCGUCGCAAACGCAAUAAGUAUCCCGCCUGGGGAGUACGAUCGCAAGGUUGAAACUCAAAGGAAUUGACGGGGACCCGCACAAGCAGCGGAGCAUGUGGUUUAAUUCGAAGCAACGCGAAGAACCUUACCAAGACUUGACAUCGCAUGACAGCCGGAGAAAUCCGGUCUUCCUUCGGGACAUGCAGACAGAUGGUGCAUGGUUGUCGUCAGCUCGUGUCGUGAGAUGUUCGGUUAAGUCCGGCAACGAGCGCAACCCUUAUAACUAGUUGCCAAUAUUAAGUUAGGAACUCUAGUUAGACUGCCAUGGAUAACAUGGA
This 375-nucleotide ribosomal RNA is filed under the name uncultured bacterium. RNAcentral describes it as "bacterial SSU rRNA". It matches the Rfam family "Bacterial small subunit ribosomal RNA", at positions 790 to 1167 of the family's 1533-position model. The record is from RNAcentral.